This is a long non-coding RNA of Homo sapiens (human), 750 nucleotides long. RefSeq lists it as uncharacterized. Lineage: Eukaryota; Metazoa; Chordata; Mammalia; Primates; Hominidae. The transcript has 3 exons. The record is from RefSeq and is a predicted model, not a curated record.
UCACCCCACUGCACUCCAGCCUGGGCGACAGAGCAAGACUGACUCAAUUUAAAAAAAAAAAGAUAAAAAUGGUGCAUCUCUAUAGGGCGUUUACCAUGCCUGGAGCUUGUGGGACUGGAAGUUGCUCUGGAAUCACUUCCUGGCUGGGAAUUGAACCCAGACUGCUGCAGUGAAAGAGCAUAAUGUUAGCUACUGGCCCACAGCAUGAGACUCCCGGUCCUGUUUGUUGCUCAUCCCCAGAUACGCAGCCUGGUCUACAGGAAGAAUUCUAUGUAUAUUUGCUGAAGAGACAAAGAAGGAUGUGGAUGAAUUGGAUGUGGAGAAUGAGAGGAAAGAAAAUGUCAAGGAUGGCUCUAAUUUCUGGCUUAUGCAACUGAGUGGUGCCAUUGAGAGAGACUCUCUCUCUUGCCUUCUUGGUUGGCACACUGGGGAGAAGCGAGCUGCAGCGUUGGAGAGGCCCAUGUGGCAAGGGACUGAGAGCAGCCUCUGGCCAACAGCCGGUAAGCAACCAGUGAGCAACCGAGGCCCUCAGUCCCACAGCAUGUGAGGAACUGAGUCCUGCCAAUGAUCAUGUGAUACUGAAGGAGGGUCUUUCUUUAGCUGAUCCUACAGAUGAGAAUCUAGCCCUUGUGCUGCCUCAUGAGAGACCCUGGAGCAGAGGCCCCAGCUGAGCUAUGCCUGGAUUCCUACCCACAGAAACUGGAAGACAAUAAAAGUGUCGUUUAUGUUUUUUUAUUCUGGUAAAAAUCA